This 498-nucleotide ribosomal RNA is filed under the name uncultured bacterium. Its description in RNAcentral is "partial 16S ribosomal RNA". It matches the Rfam family "Bacterial small subunit ribosomal RNA", at positions 28 to 523 of the family's 1533-position model. The record is from RNAcentral.
GACGAACGCUGGCGGCGUGCCUAACACAUGCAAGUCGAGCGGAGUCAGUAAGAGGAAGUUUUCGGAUGGAAUCUUAUUGAUUUAGCGGCGGACGGGUGAGUAACGCGUGAGCGACCAGCCUUGCACAGGGGGAUAACGGACCGAAAGGUUCACUAAUACCGCAUGAGACCACGGUGUUGCAUGACACAGGGGUCAAAGGAGGAAUCCGGUGCAAGACGGGCUCGCGUCCGAUUAGGUAGUUGGAGGGGUAACGGCCCACCAAGCCUAUGAUCGGUAGCCGACCUGAGAGGGUGAUCGGCCACAUUGGAACUGAGAUACGGUCCAAACUCCUACGGGAGGCAGCAGUGGGGAAUAUUGGGCAAUGGGGGAAACCCUGACCCAGCAACGCCGCGUGAAGGAAGAAGGUUUUCGGAUUGUAAACUUCUGUCCUUGGUGAAGAGAAGAAGACGGUAGCCAAGGAGGAAGCCCCGGCUAACUACGUGCCAGCCGCCGCAGUAA